This is a small nucleolar RNA of Tachyglossus aculeatus (Australian echidna), 138 nucleotides long. The record is from RefSeq and is a predicted model, not a curated record. NCBI's taxonomy places the organism in Eukaryota, Metazoa, Chordata, Mammalia, Monotremata, Tachyglossidae.
CCCCUUCCAGGGUCGCACCUGGAGAAUUCCCAGUCCUCUACCAGUCUUGCCUAUGGGAGGGAGAGUCAAGCGGAGGCCUACCCAUUCCAUUCCUAGCUUGGCCAGUGGCUAGCGAGUGGAAGGCCAUCUGUUACAAGU